RNAcentral lists this ribosomal RNA (499 nucleotides) under Noanelia sp. G57. RNAcentral describes it as "partial 16S ribosomal RNA". It matches the Rfam family "Bacterial large subunit ribosomal RNA", at positions 1808 to 2561 of the family's 2925-position model. The record is from RNAcentral. Lineage: Eukaryota; Metazoa; Annelida; Polychaeta; Terebellida; Ampharetidae.
CAAAAACAUAGCCUUAUGAAAUUAACAAUAAAAGGUUCCUCCUGCCCGGUGACUUCAUAGUUAAACGGCCGCGGUACCCUGACCGUGNUAAGGUAGCAUGAUAAGUUGCCCUUUAAUUGGGGGCUUGUACGAACGGACUUACGAAAAUACAGCUGUCUCUUUUACAACCUUAGAAAUUGUCUUUUAGGUGAAGAUCCCUAAAUUUUAACACAGGACAAAAAGACCCCGUAGAGCUUCGUCUAUCCUAUCUAUAGUAUAUUUUCUCUUGAAUACAAACACUACAGGUAAAAAUCUUAACUGGGGCGGUUAAGGAAUAAAACCUCCUUUAUAGCACCACUCAUCCUCCCUGGCUUAUACACGCCAACAAAACUGACCCCUCGCCCGGGCACAAAGGAAAAGCUACCUCGGGGAUAACAGAUUUAUCUUUCUUAAGAGUCCCCAUUGACAGAAAGGUUUGACACCUCGAUGUUGGCUUAGGAUACCCAGGUGAUAGCAGCAG